UACAGAGGGUGCAAGCGUUAAUCGGAAUUACUGGGCGUAAAGCGAGCGUAGUCGGUUAUUUAAGUCGGAUGUGAAAUCCCCGGGCUCAACCUGGGAAUUGCAUUCGAUACUGGAUAGCUAGAGUUCGGCAGAGGGAAGCGGAAUUUCUGGUGUAGCGGUGAAAUGCGUAGAUAUCAGAAGGAACAUCAGUGGCGAAAGCGGCUUCCUGGACCAGAACUGACGAUCAGGCUCGAAAGCGUGGGGAGCAAACAGG
This 253-nucleotide ribosomal RNA is filed under the name uncultured bacterium. RNAcentral describes it as "partial 16S ribosomal RNA". It matches the Rfam family "Bacterial small subunit ribosomal RNA", at positions 524 to 776 of the family's 1533-position model. The record is from RNAcentral.